RNAcentral lists this ribosomal RNA (468 nucleotides) under uncultured bacterium. RNAcentral describes it as "partial 16S ribosomal RNA". It matches the Rfam family "Bacterial small subunit ribosomal RNA", at positions 28 to 507 of the family's 1533-position model. The record is from RNAcentral.
GACGAACGCUGGCGGCGUGCUUAACACAUGCAAGUCGAACGGAAAGGCCCUGCUUUUGUGGGGUGCUCGAGUGGCGAACGGGUGAGUAACACGUGAGUAACCUGCCCUUGACUUUGGGAUAACUUCAGGAAACUGGGGCUCAUACCGGAUAGGAGCUCCUGCUGCAUGGUGGGGGUUGGUAAGUUUCGGCGGUUGGGGAUGGACUCGCGGCUUAUCAGCUUGUUGGUGGGGUAGUGGAUUACCAAGGCUUUGAAAGGUAGCCUGCCUGGGAGGGUGACCGGCCACGUUGGGACUGGGAUGCGGCCCAGACUCCUACGGGAGGCAGCAGUGGGGAAUAUUGCACUAUGGGCGGAAGCCUGAUCCAGCAACGCCGCGUGCGGGAUGACAGCCUGCGGGUUGUGAUCCGCUUUCGCCUGUGACGAAGUGUGAGUGACGGUAAUGGGUAAAGAAGCACCGGCUAACUACGUG